CCGUAGCUCAGCUGGAUAGAGCGUUGGCCUCCGGAGCCAAAGGUCAGAGGUUCGAAUCCUCUCGGGU
This 67-nucleotide transfer RNA is filed under the name marine eukaryotic metagenome. It matches the Rfam family "tRNA", at positions 5 to 66 of the family's 71-position model. From Rfam's summary of the family: Transfer RNA (tRNA) molecules are approximately 80 nucleotides in length. Their secondary structure includes four short double-helical elements and three loops (D, anti-codon, and T loops). Further hydrogen bonds mediate the characteristic L-shaped molecular structure. tRNAs have two regions of fundamental functional importance: the anti-codon, which is responsible for specific mRNA codon recognition, and the 3' end, to which the tRNAs corresponding amino acid is attached (by aminoacyl-tRNA synthetases). tRNAs cope with the degeneracy of the genetic code in two manners: having more than one tRNA (with a specific anti-codon) for a particular amino acid; and 'wobble' base-pairing, i.e. permitting non-standard base-pairing at the 3rd anti-codon position. The record is from RNAcentral.